Molecule: ribosomal RNA, 477 nt
Filed under: uncultured organism
Description: partial 16S ribosomal RNA
Rfam family: Bacterial small subunit ribosomal RNA
Source: RNAcentral
GUACACUCCUACGGGAGGCAGCAGUGGGGAAUUUUGGACAAUGGGCGAAAGCCUGAUCCAGCAAUGCCGCGUGAGUGAAGAAGGCCUUCGGGUUGUAAAGCUCUUUUGUCAGGGAAGAAACGGUGAGAGCUAAUAUCUUUUGCUAAUGACGGUACCUGAAGAAUAAGCACCGGCUAACUACGUGCCAGCAGCCGCGGUAAUACGUAGGGUGCAAGCGUUAAUCGGAAUUACUGGGCGUAAAGCGUGCGCAGGCGGUUUUGUAAGUCUGAUGUGAAAUCCCCGGGCUCAACCUGGGAAUUGCAUUGGAGACUGCAAGGCUAGAAUCUGGCAGAGGGGGGUAGAAUUCCACGUGUAGCAGUGAAAUGCGUAGAUAUGUGGAGGAACACCGAUGGCGAAGGCAGCCCCCUGGGUCAAGAUUGACGCUCAUGCACGAAAGCGUGGGGAGCAAACAGGAUUAGAAACCCUUGUAGUCCCAUG